RNAcentral lists this ribosomal RNA (419 nucleotides) under uncultured bacterium. RNAcentral's name for it is "bacterial SSU rRNA". It matches the Rfam family "Bacterial small subunit ribosomal RNA", at positions 29 to 491 of the family's 1533-position model. The record is from RNAcentral.
AACGAACGCUGGCGGCAUGCCUAACACAUGCAAGUCGAACGAGACCUUCGGGUCUAGUGGCGCACGGUGCGUAACGCGUGGGAAUCUGCCCUUGGGUUCGGAAUAACUUCGGGAAACUGAAGCUAAUACCGGAUGAUGACGUAAGUCCAAAGAUUUAUCGCCCAAGGAUGAGCCCGCGUAGGAUUAGCUAGUUGGUGAGGUAAAGGCUCACCAAGGCGACGAUCCUUAGCUGGUCUGAGAGGAUGAUCAGCCACACUGGGACUGAGACACGGCCCAGACUCCUACGGGAGGCAGCAGUGGGGAAGUAUUUGGACAAUGGGCGAAAGCCUGAUCCAGCAAUGCCGCGUGAGUGAUGAAGGCCUUAGGGUUGUAAAGCUCUUUUUACCCGGGAUGAUAAUGACAGUACCGGGAGAAUAACG